This 459-nucleotide ribosomal RNA is filed under the name uncultured bacterium. RNAcentral describes it as "partial 16S ribosomal RNA". It matches the Rfam family "Bacterial small subunit ribosomal RNA", at positions 338 to 795 of the family's 1533-position model. The record is from RNAcentral.
CCUACGUGGUGCAGCAGUGAGGAAUAUUGGUCAAUGGGCGCGAGCCUGAACCAGCCAAGUAGCGUGAAGGAUGACUGCCCUACGGGUUGUAAACUUCUUUUAUAAAGGAAUAAAGUGAGGCACGUGUGCCUUUUUGUAUGUACUUUAUGAAUAAGGAUCGGCUAACUCCGUGCCAGCAGCCGCGGUAAUACGGAGGAUCCGAGCGUUAUCCGGAUUUAUUGGGUUUAAAGGGAGCGUAGAUGGGUUGUUAAGUCAGUUGUGAAAGUUUGCGGCUCAACCGUAAAAUUGCAAUUGAUACUGGCAGUCUUGAGUACAGUUGAGGUAGGCGGAAUUGGGGGUGUAGCGGUGAAAUGCUUAGAUAUACGAAGAACUCCGAUUGCGAAGGCAGCUUACUAAACUGCCACUGACAUUGAUGCUCGAAGGUGUGGGUAUCAAACAGGAUUAGAUACCCUUGUAGUC